Molecule: ribosomal RNA, 433 nt
Filed under: uncultured bacterium
Lineage: Bacteria
Description: partial 16S ribosomal RNA
Rfam family: Bacterial small subunit ribosomal RNA
Source: RNAcentral
AACGAACGCUGGCGGCAUGCCUAACACAUGCAAGUCGAACGAGACCUUCGGGUCUAGUGGCGCACGGGUGCGUAACGCGUGGGAACCUGCCCUUAGGUUCGGAAUAACUCCCCGAAAGGGGUGCUAAUACCGGAUAAUGUCUUCGGACCAAAGAUUUAUCGCCUUUGGAUGGGCCCGCGUUGGAUUAGCUAGUUGGUAGGGUAAAAGCCUACCAAGGCGACGAUCCAUAGCUGGUCUGAGAGGAUGAUCAGCCACACUGGGACUGAGACACGGCCCAGACUCCUACGGGAGGCAGCAGUAGGGAAUAUUGGACGAUGGGCGAAAGCGUGAUCCAGCAGUGCCGCGUGAGUGAUGAAGGCGUUAGGGUUGUAAAGCUGUUUUACCCGGGAUGAUAAUGACAGUAACGGGUGAAUAAGCUCCGGCUAACUCCGUG